AGGGCCAUAUCUCAGUGGCAGAGCAUCUGCUUUGCAUGCAGAAGGUCCCAGAUUCAAUCCCCGGUAACUCUA
This 72-nucleotide transfer RNA is filed under the name Podarcis lilfordi (Lilford's wall lizard). It matches the Rfam family "tRNA". From Rfam's summary of the family: Transfer RNA (tRNA) molecules are approximately 80 nucleotides in length. Their secondary structure includes four short double-helical elements and three loops (D, anti-codon, and T loops). Further hydrogen bonds mediate the characteristic L-shaped molecular structure. tRNAs have two regions of fundamental functional importance: the anti-codon, which is responsible for specific mRNA codon recognition, and the 3' end, to which the tRNAs corresponding amino acid is attached (by aminoacyl-tRNA synthetases). tRNAs cope with the degeneracy of the genetic code in two manners: having more than one tRNA (with a specific anti-codon) for a particular amino acid; and 'wobble' base-pairing, i.e. permitting non-standard base-pairing at the 3rd anti-codon position. Lineage: Eukaryota; Metazoa; Chordata; Lepidosauria; Squamata; Lacertidae. The record is from Rfam by way of RNAcentral.